RNAcentral lists this ribosomal RNA (467 nucleotides) under uncultured bacterium. RNAcentral describes it as "partial 16S ribosomal RNA". It matches the Rfam family "Bacterial small subunit ribosomal RNA", at positions 29 to 507 of the family's 1533-position model. The record is from RNAcentral.
ACGAACGCUGGCGGCGUGCUUCACCCAUGCAAGUCGCACGGAAAGGCCCUGCUUUUGUGGGGUGCUCGAGUGGCGAACGGGUGAGUAACACGUGAGUAACCUGCCCUUGACUUUGGGAUAACUUCAGGAAACUGGGGCUAAUACCGGAUAGGAGCUCCUGCUGCAUGGUGGGGGUUGGAAAGUUUCGGCGGUUGGGGAUGGACUCGCGGCUUAUCAGCUUGUUGGUGGGGUAGUGGCUUACCAAGGCUUUGACGGGUAGCCGGCCUGAGAGGGUGACCGGCCACAUUGGGACUGAGAUACGGCCCAGACUCCUACGGGAGGCAGCAGUGGGGAAUAUUGCACAAUGGGCGGAAGCCUGAUGCAGCAACGCCGCGUGCGGGAUGACGGCCUUCGGGUUGUAAACCGCUUUCGCCUGUGACGAAGCGUGAGUGACGGUAAUGGGUAAAGAAGCACCGGCUAACUACGCG